GUCUACGGCCGUGCUAUCCUGAACAUGCCCUAUCCCAUCUGAUCUUGGAAGCUAAGCAGGAUCGGGCUUGGUUAGUACUUGGAUAGGAGACCACCUAGGAAGACUAGGUGCUGUAGGCA
This 119-nucleotide ribosomal RNA is filed under the name Pteropus alecto (black flying fox). The record is from RNAcentral. RNAcentral also lists the same sequence under 1 other name. Lineage: Eukaryota; Metazoa; Chordata; Mammalia; Chiroptera; Pteropodidae.